UGCAUUUGCAUGUUAAAAGGCUAGGGUA
RNAcentral lists this non-coding RNA (28 nucleotides) under Homo sapiens (human). Lineage: Eukaryota; Metazoa; Chordata; Mammalia; Primates; Hominidae. The record is from RNAcentral.